This 463-nucleotide ribosomal RNA is filed under the name uncultured bacterium. RNAcentral describes it as "partial 16S ribosomal RNA". It matches the Rfam family "Bacterial small subunit ribosomal RNA", at positions 29 to 507 of the family's 1533-position model. The record is from RNAcentral.
AGUGAACGCUGGCGGCGUGCCUAAUACAUGCAAGUCGAACGAUGAAGUCCUAGCUUGCUAGGAUGGAUUAGUGGCGCACGGGUGAGUAAUAUAUAGUUAAUCUGCCCUACACAGAGGAACAACAGUUGGAAACGACUGCUAAUACCUCAUACUCCUAUUUGACAUAAGUUAAAUAGGGAAAGUCUUUUCGGUGUAGGAUGAGACUAUAUCGUAUCAGCUAGUUGGUAAGGUAAUGGCUUACCAAGGGUAUGACGCGUAACUGGUCUGAGAGGAUGAUCAGUCACAUUGGAACUGAGACACGGUCCAAACUCCGACGGGAGGCAGCAGGAAGGAAUAGUGAGCAAUGGGGGAAACCCUGACGCAGCAACGCCGCGUGGAGGAUGACACUUGUCGGAGCGUAAACUCCUUUUAUCAGGAAAGAAUAAUGACGGUACCUGAUGAAUAAGCACCGGCUAACUCCGUG